ACUCCUACGGGAGGCAGCAGUGGGGAAUAUUGCACAAUGGGCGCAAGCCUGAUGCAGCAACGCCGCGUGAGUGAUGAAGGCCUUCGGGUCGUAAAGCUCUGUCCUCAAGGAAGAAUAAAUGACGGUACUUGAGGAGGAAGCCCGGCUAACUACGUGCCAGCAGCCGCGGUAAUACGUAGGGGGCAAGCGUUAUCCGGAAUCACUGGGGCGUAAAGGGUGCGUAGGCGGUUUUCAAGUCAGAAGUGAAAGGCUAUGGCUCAACCAUAGUAAGCUUUUGAAACUGUUAAACUUGAGUGCAGGAGAGGAAAGUGGAAUUCCUAGUGUAGAGGUGAAAUUCGUAGAUAUUAGGAGGAACACCAGUGGCGAAGGCGACUUUCUGGACUGUAACUGACGCUGAGGCACGAAAGCGUGGGGAGCGAACAGGAUUAGAUACCCUGGUAGCACAGAG
RNAcentral lists this ribosomal RNA (448 nucleotides) under uncultured bacterium. Its description in RNAcentral is "bacterial SSU rRNA". It matches the Rfam family "Bacterial small subunit ribosomal RNA", at positions 335 to 799 of the family's 1533-position model. The record is from RNAcentral.